RNAcentral lists this ribosomal RNA (540 nucleotides) under uncultured bacterium. RNAcentral's name for it is "partial 16S ribosomal RNA". It matches the Rfam family "Bacterial small subunit ribosomal RNA", at positions 355 to 888 of the family's 1533-position model. The record is from RNAcentral.
UGGGGAAUUUUGGACAAUGGGCGAAAGCCUGAUCCAGCAAUGCCGCGUGUGUGAAGAAGGCCUUCGGGUUGUAAAGCACUUUUGUCCGGAAAGAAAUCCUUGGCUCUAAUACAGUCGGGGGAUGACGGUACCGGAAGAAUAAGCACCGGCUAACUACGUGCCAGCAGCCGCGGUAAUACGUAGGGUGCAAGCGUUAAUCGGAAUUACUGGGCGUAAAGCGUGCGCAGGCGGUUUGCUAAGACCGAUGUGAAAUCCCCGGGCUCAACCUGGGAACUGCAUUGGUGACUGGCAGGCUAGAGUAUGGCAGAGGGGGUAGAAUUCCACGUGUAGCAGUGAAAUGCGUAGAGAUGUGGAGGAAUACCGAUGGCGAAGGCAGCCCCCUGGGCCAAUACUGACGCUCAUGCACGAAAGCGUGGGGAGCAAAACAGGAUUAGAUACCCUGGUAGUCCACGCCCUAAACGAUGUCAACUAGUUGUUGGGGAUUCAUUUCCUUAGUAACGUAGCUAACGCGUGAAGUUGACCGCCUGGGGAGUACGGUCG